UUAUGGCCAUAUCACAUUGAAACACCGGUUCUCGUACACGAUCACCGAAGUUAAGCAAUGACGAUCCUGGUCAAUAUCUCGAUGGGUAACCGCUUGGGAAUACCAGGUGCUGUAGG
Non-coding RNA from Acanthosepion pharaonis, 116 nucleotides. Lineage: Eukaryota; Metazoa; Mollusca; Cephalopoda; Sepiida; Sepiidae. The record is from the annotation of a GenBank genome assembly.